Molecule: ribosomal RNA, 200 nt
Filed under: uncultured bacterium
Lineage: Bacteria
Description: partial 16S ribosomal RNA
Rfam family: Bacterial small subunit ribosomal RNA
Source: RNAcentral
AGAGUUUGAUCCUGGCUCAGGACGAACGCUGGCGGCGUGCCUAACACAUGCAAGUCGAACGGAGAAUUAGCAAUAAUUCUUAGUGGCGAACGGGUGAGUAACGCGUAGACAACCUACCCUUUAGAUGGGGACAACAGAUCGAAAGAUCUGCUAAUACCGAAUGUUGUUUGAGAAACGCAUGUUUCUCAAACUAAAGAUGG